UCGAGAAUAUUCGACAAUGGGCGAAAGCCUGAUCGAGCGACGCCGCGUGCAGGAUGAAGGCCUUCGGGUCGUAAACUGCGGUAGCUAGGGAGGAACUUCGGUGACUGUACCUAGCGGAAAGAGGUGGGUAACUACGUGCCAGCACCAGCGGUAAUACGUAGACCUCAAGCGUUAUCCGGAUUUAUUGGGCGUAAAGCGUGUGUAGGAGGUUCUGUGCGUCUUUGGUUAAAGCCCACCGCCUAACGGUGGAAAUGCCAAGGAUACGGCAGGACUAGAGGGGUUAGAGGUGCGCGGAAUGCACGGUGUAGGGGUGAAAUCCGUUGAUAUCGUGCAGAACACCAACGGCGAAGGCAGCGCACUGGGACUCUCCUGACUCUGAGACACG
This 385-nucleotide ribosomal RNA is filed under the name uncultured bacterium. RNAcentral describes it as "bacterial SSU rRNA". It matches the Rfam family "Bacterial small subunit ribosomal RNA", at positions 355 to 755 of the family's 1533-position model. The record is from RNAcentral.